RNAcentral lists this ribosomal RNA (169 nucleotides) under Favites abdita. RNAcentral's name for it is "5.8S ribosomal RNA". It matches the Rfam family "5.8S ribosomal RNA". From Rfam's summary of the family: 5.8S ribosomal RNA (5.8S rRNA) is a component of the large subunit of the eukaryotic ribosome. It is transcribed by RNA polymerase I as part of the 45S precursor that also contains 18S and 28S rRNA. Functionally, it is thought that 5.8S rRNA may be involved in ribosome translocation. The record is from RNAcentral. Lineage: Eukaryota; Metazoa; Cnidaria; Anthozoa; Scleractinia; Merulinidae.
AACUUUUGACGGUGGAUCUCUUGGCUCACGCAUCGAUGAAGAACGCAGCCAGCUGCGAUAAGUAGUGUGAAUUGCAGAAUUCAGUGAAUCAUCGAAUCUUUGAACGCAAAUGGCGCUCUUGGGUUCUCCCAGGAGCAUGUCUGUCUGAGUGUCGGAUUGGUCAUAGAUC